UCUACUCCCAGAGGCAUUGUACGUGUGAUGCUAUGUCACGUGUGAAUCAGUAGAUGGCAGAUAGGAGACUAUGUCUUCCCUCAGUGUUCUUAUCUACAAACAUCUGGAUGAUAGAAGACUAACGUU
Rattus rattus (black rat) is the source of this 126-nucleotide small nucleolar RNA. RefSeq annotates it as small nucleolar RNA SNORA17. NCBI's taxonomy places the organism in Eukaryota, Metazoa, Chordata, Mammalia, Rodentia, Muridae. The transcript has a single exon. The record is from RefSeq and is a predicted model, not a curated record.